GAGGAUCGUCAGUGGCAAGUCCGGUUUGUACCCGGCACCUACAAGGGUUGGCCGCCAGUCAAAAAGCCGGAACCAAUUUUCGUGCCGGCAGGCAUGAAGGCUUCCUGCCCGAACUGCGGACAAACCAGAGUUAUUCCGCGCACGGAAGCUCAUAAAGAUUGCGGCAUUUGCGGUGACCGAAUUCCGCCCGAGGGUCAAUGACCCAUGCUUCAAAGAGUGUCAGCUGGCAUCGGACUCUUUUCAGAAUUGCGGCC
This 254-nucleotide unclassified non-coding RNA is filed under the name Hevea brasiliensis (rubber tree). Lineage: Eukaryota; Viridiplantae; Streptophyta; Magnoliopsida; Malpighiales; Euphorbiaceae. The record is from RNAcentral.